RNAcentral lists this ribosomal RNA (420 nucleotides) under uncultured bacterium. Its description in RNAcentral is "bacterial SSU rRNA". It matches the Rfam family "Bacterial small subunit ribosomal RNA", at positions 356 to 773 of the family's 1533-position model. The record is from RNAcentral.
AAGGAAUAUUGGUCAAUGGACGCAAGUCUGAACCAGCCAUGCCGCGUGGAGGAUGAAGGCCCUCUGGGUUGUAAACUUCUUUUAUCUGGGAAGAAACCCAUCUUUUCUAAGGUGGUUGACGGUACCAGAUGAAUAAGCACCGGCUAACUCCGUGCCAGCAGCCGCGGUAAUACGGAGGGUGCAAGCGUUAUCCGGAUUCACUGGGUUUAAAGGGUGCGUAGGUGGGCAGGUAAGUCAGUGGUGAAAUCUCUGGGCUUAACCCAGAAACUGCCGUUGAUACUAUCUGUCUUGAAUAUAGUGGAGGUGAGCGGAAUAUGUCAUGUAGCGGUGAAAUGCUUAGAUAUGACAUAGAACACCCAUUGCGAAGGCAGCUCGCUACACUAUUAUUGACACUGAGGCACGAAAGCGUGGGGAUCAAAC